UCUCGUCAUUCAUCUAAUCUUGCCAUUCGAUUUCUAUGGUAUUUCUCUCCGUUUGAACUGAGUAUCGGCUCCUACGGGUUACUCUGCCUUCUACUGUGAUGGAGAAUGCCUCUACCCUCUGGGUUCCUGCAUGAACUCCACCACCCACACUAUGAUCCAACUAGUGGUUCACCUUCUGAAGCCGGAUGAGGUUCCCAAAGCAUGCUGCGCACCCACCAAGCUCAGUCCCAUCUCUGUACUCUUCUACGAUGACAACAACAACGUGAUCCUAAAGAAGCAUCGCAACAUGGUGGUCAAGACCUGUGGAUGCCUGUGACACCAGUGGUAGCCCAUCUAUCUAUUCUACAUCAUUUUAAUCAACUUAAUUGCCAUUGUUCCAAAAGAUAAAAACAGGGUAAUAUAACUUGCAACCAGCAGUUGAUAGCAAUAAUAUGUCAAUAUGCUGAUAUAUACUAUGUAUCUAAUAUAUUGAUUUAGAGUCAGAGUGGUAUAUGAACAACACCCAUUGGACUUAUAACCAUACCUCACUUUUGAUUAACUAAACUAUUCAAAUCUACAGUAAUUCAGAUAAUUACAUCACCCCUUCAUGUCAUAUAUUCUGUGACCAAUCAAAGCUGUAAUGUACUGUAUCAUAAGUGCAAUCAAUGCUAAAAUUCUUGUUGAACCAUACAUUUUUUCUCAUUGUCUCUUUUAGAUGUACUAAACAUGGUUUGCAAAACGUACACGUAUUUUUCUUCUUCUUUAAUCAUACUUUUAACCAGUACAAGUUAGUAACAAUGGAAAAUGAUAACAUGAAAAAAAAAAUUGGCCAUUUUUGUAUGUACAGAGGAACAAAUACACAGUGAUGUAUGUCCUUGUCAACAGAUAUCUGGAGGACUGUAUACCGCUAUAUUUGUAAUUUAAAAAACUAUACUGAACAAAAAAACGCAACAUGUAAAAGGUUUGUCCCAUGUUUCAUGAGCUGAAAUUAAAGAUCCCGGAAAUGUUC
Long non-coding RNA from Oncorhynchus nerka (sockeye salmon), 988 nucleotides. RefSeq lists it as uncharacterized. NCBI's taxonomy places the organism in Eukaryota, Metazoa, Chordata, Actinopteri, Salmoniformes, Salmonidae. The record is from RefSeq and is a predicted model, not a curated record. The transcript is spliced from 2 exons.